RNAcentral lists this ribosomal RNA (253 nucleotides) under uncultured bacterium. RNAcentral describes it as "partial 16S ribosomal RNA". It matches the Rfam family "Bacterial small subunit ribosomal RNA", at positions 524 to 776 of the family's 1533-position model. The record is from RNAcentral.
UACGAAGGGGGCUAGCGUUGCUCGGAAUCACUGGGCGUAAAGCGCACGUAGGCGGAUUGUUAAGUCAGGGGUGAAAUCCUGGAGCUCAACUCCAGAACUGCCUUUGAUACUGGCGAUCUUGAGUCCGGGAGAGGUGAGUGGAACUGCGAGUGUAGAGGUGAAAUUCGUAGAUAUCAGGAGGAACACCGGUGGCGAAGGCGGGUCUCUGGGCCGAUACUGGCGCUGAGGAGCGAAAGCGUGGGGAGCGAACAGG